UUACACUAUAAUUAUAGGCCUUACCCAACACAUUCACAAAGCUUUUUGAGUCAAGACCCAUGAGAAUGACUGCUGUAGUCAAAAAUAUUAAUAUCUAGUCAAUGUAUGAUUUGAGCUGUACAUUAGCAUGAAACUUAUAUUACUUUACAUUAUAGUUUACCUUUUUGACGAAUCAAUUUGUGAAGAAAAACAAACUAACCAGGAGUUUUCUUUAUUUUGUAUACCAUAUUGUGAUGGUUUUAAUCUACCGAAGGGAACAUUAAAAACAAAUAAUCAUAAAAAGACCCCUCCCCCUCCCCGGUGGCAUAUAUGCGUUGCGUCAUCCUUGAAUUCCUAUUGGUGGAUUGGCGAAGAUGAAUCUCGAGAGGAGUCGAGACAAAUGACAGUUAAUUUUUCAAACUAAGGAGUCCGCCAUUUCUGCUCGUUCAUACCCUAAGAUAACCAUGGUUGAUAAAUGGUCAGUAGAUGACACGUGCCACUGGCUUCAAACUAUAAACCUCAUUGAUGCAAAAGAAAGUUUCAGAGAUCCUGCAUGAAAUGACAAUGAGGUUUGGAACAGACUUGGCGAAGAACAUGGAAACAUCUCUGAAUGAAAUGGCCCCAGACAUCAUCAGGAGUGCAAAAGAAGGAAGUCAAAAAAACCCUCUACGCCAAUCUCAUUGGACUAGCAGAGGAAACCACAGAAGGUCUCGUUAGGAAUGCUGCACUCAUUUUAUUGCCAGCACUAUUUAAAGAAAACGCCAGCUUCCUUUACAGUGUAGAUAGUGAUCCCAAAGGUGCUACACCAACCAUAGUGUUUAACGGCUCUCCUGAUUCCCUCAAGGCUGAAAGCGUCAGCAUUAUAAUGGACAAUGUGAACAUCAUAAGAGAGGCAGACAUUGACAUGACACAGGCUGUGGAAUGCCUAUUUGCAGUCUAUUUUAUGUGCAAUACCCGGUUGACAUUAAGCACACAAUGACUUUUAUUCAAAAAUAUAUGCUUAAACUUAGACAAGAGCACAGCAAAAGAACACCAAUACAUGUACUGAAAAUGUACAGUCAACUUGUGUAAAUUGUAGAGCUAUUUAA
Molecule: long non-coding RNA, 1067 nt
Organism: Carassius carassius (crucian carp)
Lineage: Eukaryota; Metazoa; Chordata; Actinopteri; Cypriniformes; Cyprinidae
Exons: 5
Source: RefSeq, a predicted model, not a curated record